RNAcentral lists this ribosomal RNA (626 nucleotides) under uncultured bacterium. RNAcentral's name for it is "bacterial SSU rRNA". The stretch from base 1 to 542 matches the Rfam family "Bacterial small subunit ribosomal RNA", at positions 338 to 873 of the family's 1533-position model. The record is from RNAcentral.
CCUACGGGAGGCAGCAGUGGGGAAUUUUGGACAAUGGGCGAAAGCCUGAUCCAGCAAUGCCGCGUGAGUGAAGAAGGCCUUCGGGUUGUAAAGCUCUUUUGUCAGGGACGAAACGGUGAGAGCUAAUAUCUUUUGCUAAUGACGGUACCUGAAGAAUAAGCACCGGCUAACUACGUGCCAGCAGCCGCGGUAAUACGUAGGGUGCAAGCGUUAAUCGGAAUUACUGGGCGUAAAGCGUGCGCAGGCGGUUUUGUAAGUCUGAUGUGAAAUCCCCGGGCUCAACCUGGGAAUUGCAUUGGAGACUGCAAGGCUAGAAUCUGGCAGAGGGGGGUAGAAUUCCACGUGUAGCAGUGAAAUGCGUAGAUAUGUGGAGGAACACCGAUGGCGAAGGCAGCCCCCUGGGUCAAGAUUGACGCUCAUGCACGAAAGCGUGGGGAGCAAACAGGAUUAGAUACCCUGGUAGUCCACGCCCUAAACGAUGUCUACUAGUUGUCGGGUCUUAAUUGACUUGGUAACCGCAGCGUACGCGNGAGUAGACCGCCGNGGGUAAGGUACGGUCGCGAGUAAGUUAAACGUUAAAGUAGAGUUAGAGNGNGAGAGNGCGAGGACGACGACGAGGGAGGAGG